AUCCGCACGCGGUGCGGUUACGGUUGCGGUUGGGAUUUGAUAACCGCGGAUUACCCGCACCGUAGGACAUAUAGGGAAUUUAGUAAAUGUAUUAAGGACAAUAUGGGAAGUUGGAGUUUGAUAUAUAAACAUCUUUAGCUUUCGGUGAAACCUAAUAGCAUCAGUUUUUUUCGAGAGGAAAAGAGACCUAAUAGUCUCAGAGAAGAGACUUCGAUUCUUCUUCUUCUCUGAGUAAAUUAGUUCUCUCAUUCAUCUUCUUCUCAUCACAGAUUCACAGUAAAUAUCCUUCGAUUCAUCUUCUUCUCAUCACAGUAAAUUAGUUCUCUCAUUCAUUCUUCUUCUCUGAGCAGCAUCAGCAUCAGUAACUGUAGAUCCACGGAUUGGAGAGAAGAAUCUUCAGGAGAACAGUAUUUAAAAUCCUUGGGUAGGUGGUGAAGCUUGUAUUAUCAGUGCUACAAUUGUUUGGCAAUCUGACUAAUCCAUAUUGUUGCGAGUAGAAAGCAUUCCCUUGGUAAGGAGAAUCUGAGAGCAGAUGGCUUCAAGUACUAAGGGACCUUCUAUUCCUGUUGACGAUCCUGAUGAGAGCAUGGCUACAGUUAACCCGGCAACCGUCGAGACCUAUGGGGCAUAACUUUUUGUGUGCAAAUUUGACCUGAUCAGUUCAUUAUAGGGUCUGCGUGCAUAACUUUCUAUUAGUCUCCUUGGAAUUUGAUUAGUCAUAAUCAAUCUUAAAACUCUGGCUUGUUGUUCCUCAAUGUCGAUUGGGUCUGCGGUCUAGUUGUGAUCAGCCCUUUUAAAUGAUGCGGCAGAAAUCUUGCAGGAAAUUCCAGACAUAUCUAUCACGGAUUGAAUCCAAGGUCUCUUUUUUAGUUUUUGGCAUCAGAGAUUCAUAUGGCUUGGCACCAGACUUGUUGCAUUUGAAUUACUACUCUUUUGUGUUAGCUGUUAACUAUCUUAUGUCUAUUGUUGCUUUUGAAUUACUGAAUUAUAACUCUUUUGUGUUAAAAAAACGUCUGCACUCUAGUUUGUAACUUUCUA
Papaver somniferum (opium poppy) is the source of this 1038-nucleotide long non-coding RNA. RefSeq lists it as uncharacterized. The record is from RefSeq and is a predicted model, not a curated record. Lineage: Eukaryota; Viridiplantae; Streptophyta; Magnoliopsida; Ranunculales; Papaveraceae. The transcript has 5 exons.